UACGUAGGGGGCAAGCGUUGUCCGGAUUUAUUGGGCGUAAAGAGCGUGUAGGCGGCUUGGAAGGUCAGCUGUGAAAACUCGAGGCUCAACCUCGAGACGUCGGUUGAAACCACCUGGCUAGAGUCCGGAAGAGGAGAGUGGAAUUCCCGGUGUAGCGGUGAAAUGCGCAGAUAUCGGGAAGAACACCCGUGGCGAAGGCGGCUCUCUAGGACGGUACUGACGCUGAGACGCGAAAGCGUGGGGAGCGAACAGG
This 253-nucleotide ribosomal RNA is filed under the name uncultured bacterium. RNAcentral's name for it is "partial 16S ribosomal RNA". It matches the Rfam family "Bacterial small subunit ribosomal RNA", at positions 524 to 776 of the family's 1533-position model. The record is from RNAcentral.